AUUCAUCUGACGAGUCCCAAAUAGGACAAAAUCUUCGUUCUGGAU
This 45-nucleotide non-coding RNA is filed under the name Schistosoma haematobium. The record is from RNAcentral. Lineage: Eukaryota; Metazoa; Platyhelminthes; Trematoda; Strigeidida; Schistosomatidae.